CCUACGGGAGGCAGCAGUAAGGAAUCUUCCACAAUGGACGAAAGUCUGAUGGAGCAACGCCGCGUGCAGGAUGAAGGCUUUCGGGUCGUAAACUGCUUUUAUAUGGGAAGAUUAUGACGGUACCAUAUGAAUAAGGACCGGCUAACUACGUGCCAGCAGCCGCGGUAAUACGUAGGGUCCAAGCGAUAUCCGGAAUUACUGGGCGUAAAGCGUGUGUAGGUGGAUUAAUAAGUGUGAUGCGAAAUCCGGCGGCUCAACCGUUUGGACUGUGUCGCAUACUGUUAGUCUAGAGGACGGCAGAGGUAAGUGGAAUUACGGGUGUAGCAGUGAAAUGCGUAGAUAUCCGUAGGAACACCAAUGGCGAAGGCAGCUUACUGGGCCACACCUGACACUGAGACACGAAAGCGUGGGGAGCGAACAGGAUUAGAUACCCUGGUAGUCCACGCCGUAAACGAUGCAUACUAUUAGUAUGGGGUAUCGACCCCCUGUGCUGAGAAGCUAACGCGAUAAGUAUGCCGCCGUCGGGAGGUACGAGCGCGACGACGUUAAACUAACGAAAGGAAGUUAGUACGGCGUGAGACGUCGCCGACGGACGACGACGAGGGAGGAGG
RNAcentral lists this ribosomal RNA (611 nucleotides) under uncultured bacterium. RNAcentral describes it as "bacterial SSU rRNA". The stretch from base 1 to 520 matches the Rfam family "Bacterial small subunit ribosomal RNA", at positions 338 to 873 of the family's 1533-position model. The record is from RNAcentral.